This 286-nucleotide ribosomal RNA is filed under the name Staphylococcus aureus. RNAcentral's name for it is "partial 23S ribosomal RNA". It matches the Rfam family "Bacterial large subunit ribosomal RNA", at positions 2639 to 2925 of the family's 2925-position model. Lineage: Bacteria; Bacillati; Bacillota; Bacilli; Caryophanales; Staphylococcaceae. The record is from RNAcentral.
UAUCCGUCGUGGGCGUAGGAAAUUUGAGAGGAGCUGUCCUUAGUACGAGAGGACCGGGAUGGACAUACCUCUGGUGUACCAGUUGUCGUGCCAACGGCAUAGCUGGGUAGCUAUGUGUGGACGGGAUAAGUGCUGAAAGCAUCUAAGCAUGAAGCCCCCCUCAAGAUGAGAUUUCCCAACUUCGGUUAUAAGAUCCCUUAAAGAUGAUGAGGUUAAUAGGUUCGAGGUGGAAGCAUGGUGACAUGUGUAGCUGACGAAUACUAAUCGAUCGAAGACUUAAUCAAAA